AACGAACGCUGGCGGCAUGCCUAACACAUGCAAGUCGAACGAGACCUUCGGGUCUAGUGGCGCACGGGUGCGUAACGCGUGGGAACCUGCCCUUAGGUUCGGAAUAACUCCCCGAAAGGUGUGCUAAUACCGGUUAAUGUCUUCGGACCAAAGAUUUAUCGCCUUUGGAUGGGCCCGCGUUGGUUUAGCUAGUUGGUAGGGUAAAAGCCUACCAAGGCGACGAUCCAUAGAUGGUCUGAGAGGAUGAUCAGCCACACUGGGACUGAGACACGGCCCAGACUACUACGGGAGGCAGCAGUGGGGAAUAUUGGAAAAUGGGGGAAAGCCUGAUGCAGAAAUGCCGCGUGAGUGAUGAAGGCAUUAGGGUUGUAAAGCUCUUUUACCCGGGAUGAUAAUGACAGUACCGGGAGAAUAAGCACCGGCUAACUCCGUG
Molecule: ribosomal RNA, 433 nt
Filed under: uncultured bacterium
Lineage: Bacteria
Description: partial 16S ribosomal RNA
Rfam family: Bacterial small subunit ribosomal RNA
Source: RNAcentral